Molecule: non-coding RNA, 72 nt
Organism: Angiostrongylus costaricensis
Lineage: Eukaryota; Metazoa; Nematoda; Chromadorea; Rhabditida; Metastrongylidae
Source: Rfam
GGCCGGAUGGUCUAGAGGUAGGAAUCUCGCUUCUGCUGAGAGUGGCCACGGGUUCGAAUCUCGGUUCGGCCC